GGAAUAUUGGACAAUGGGCGAAAGCCUGAUCCAGCAAUGCCGCGUGAGUGAUGAAGGCCUUAGGGUUGUAAAGCUCUUUUACCCGGGAUGAUAAUGACAGUACCGGGAGAAUAAGCUCCGGCUAACUCCGUGCCAGCAGCCGCGGUAAUACGGAGGGAGCUAGCGUUGUUCGGAAUUACUGGGCGUAAAGCGCACGUAGGCGGCUAUUCAAGUCAGAGGUGAAAGCCCGGGGCUCAACCCCGGAACUGCCUUUGAAACUAGAUAGCUUGAAUCCAGGAGAGGUGAGUGGAAUUCCGAGUGUAGAGGUGAAAUUCGUAGAUAUUCGGAAGAACACCAGUGGCGAAGGCGGCUCACUGGACUGGUAUUGACGCUGAGGUGCGAAAGCGUGGGGAGCAAACA
RNAcentral lists this ribosomal RNA (399 nucleotides) under uncultured Sphingomonas sp. RNAcentral describes it as "bacterial SSU rRNA". It matches the Rfam family "Bacterial small subunit ribosomal RNA", at positions 358 to 774 of the family's 1533-position model. The record is from RNAcentral. Lineage: Bacteria; Pseudomonadati; Pseudomonadota; Alphaproteobacteria; Sphingomonadales; Sphingomonadaceae.